AAAAUUGACAGAUAAACAAAACCUUGGAAAAUCGAAAUCAUAUUUCUAAAAUAUCCAAUAUAUCAAUAAAACUGGACCUAUUAAAAAGGUUGAGAGGUUUGCUAACAUCUACAAGUUAUAAACAAGAAGAAAUAAAUCCAAUCUGCUUGUGAAAAUAUCAGAAAAUGGUAAUUUUAAAAAGAUCUAAUGAUAUAUCCAACAGCUUAAUAUAUCCAAAAACUGUAAGGCUACACCGAAGAAAUUUUACUCGUACAAUUCAAAAUAUCAACUCGAAGAGACUAUAUGACAACUUAAAUUAGCAAUUACAAUUUUAUUGAGAACUAGAUAAUUAUUGUUAGACUAAGUUAAUGUCAAAAUGAAGAAAAUAAUCUAAGGAUAAAAUGAACCCGUAACAGUUGUGAGGGGGAGCUCAUCUUGCUGAAAUUAUAUUUCACGUACAUUAGCUAAACGAAUAUCUGAAAGUUCCUGUACGAUAGCUUCCAAGAUUUACAAAUAUAUUUGUAAGAGUUAAGUUUCCCUAAUAUAUAAAGAAUUUAUUAGUGAUUAUUGGUAAUUUAUUAGUGAAUAUUGCAGUAAAAAGUGAAAAUAAAUAUAGAGUGAUAUGCAAGCCAUAUACAGGGUGCAUUCUAUUUAAGAAAACAUAACUU
Molecule: long non-coding RNA, 647 nt
Organism: Sitophilus oryzae (rice weevil)
Lineage: Eukaryota; Metazoa; Arthropoda; Insecta; Coleoptera; Curculionidae
Exons: 3
Source: RefSeq, a predicted model, not a curated record